Molecule: ribosomal RNA, 492 nt
Filed under: uncultured bacterium
Lineage: Bacteria
Description: partial 16S ribosomal RNA
Rfam family: Bacterial small subunit ribosomal RNA
Source: RNAcentral
AGUGAACGCUGGCGGUGGGCCUAACACAUGCAAGUCGAACGGCAGCACAGUAAGAGCUUGCUCUUACGGGUGGCGAGUGGCGGACGGGUGAGGAAUACAUCGGAAUCUACUUUUUCGUGGGGGAUAACGUAGGGAAACUUACGCUAAUACCGCAUACGACCUACGGGUGAAAGCAGGGGAUCUUCGGACCUUGCGCGAUUGAAUGAGCCGAUGUCGGAUUCGCUAGUUGGCGGGGUAAAGGCCCACCAAGGCGACGAUCCGUAGCUGGUCUGAGAGGAUGAUCAGCCACACUGGAACUGAGACACGGUCCAGACUCCUACGGGAGGCAGCAGUGGGGAAUAUUGGACAAUGGGCGCAAGCCUGAUCCAGCCAUACCGCGUGGGUGAAGAAGGCCUUCGGGUUGUAAAGCCCUUUUGUUGGGAAAGAAAAGCAGCAGGUUAAUACCCCGCUGUUCUGACGGUACCCAAAGAAUAAGCACCGGCUAACUUCGUG